AGUGGUAUAACUGGAUCAUAUGGUAAUUUUAUAUAUUUGAGGAAUUGCCAUACUGAUUUCCAUAGUGAUUGCACAAAUUUCCAUUUCCACCAACUGU
RNAcentral lists this microRNA precursor (97 nucleotides) under Marmota monax (woodchuck). The record is from RNAcentral. Lineage: Eukaryota; Metazoa; Chordata; Mammalia; Rodentia; Sciuridae.